Long non-coding RNA from Lathyrus oleraceus (garden pea), 1115 nucleotides. RefSeq lists it as uncharacterized. The transcript is spliced from 2 exons. Lineage: Eukaryota; Viridiplantae; Streptophyta; Magnoliopsida; Fabales; Fabaceae. The record is from RefSeq and is a predicted model, not a curated record.
AGGGCUUUAGCCCAACACAUAAGAUCCAAGAGAGUAGGGAAGAUAUUUCAGAAACAAGUUCAAAUCACUCAGUCCAAACGCGUUAUUUCCCUCCAAGCUAUGGCAAAAAAUUCCACCGCACCGGAAAUCGCCUCCGGCAGUGGUGGAGGUCCAAACACCACCAAAUCAAUGUCAAAAUGCUCGUCCAUCCCUGAUCUUUCACAAUCUACCAUCAAUUCCCUCAUAUCCCUACCAUGAUUCUCAAAUUGAACAAAAAUAUUCAAGAACCCUAAAAAUCAAAAUCAAAAUUAAAUGCUCUAGAGGAGGAAUCAAAGCCUAAAACGUUAGGGCUUUGAUCCAUAGAGCCUUGUCCUACAAUGAAGGUAAUGGUAUCAAAGAGGAUGGAUGAAGACAUCAAAGAACUCAUCGACGAGGAGGAGAAUGGGCCCGGGGUCGUAGGAGUUGAAGAAGAACGAAACAGAAGAACGAAAGAAGCUCAAUGCUCCAAGUACUCUUGAUUUCAACUCAUAUUUGCUCAAAUUCUUCUUUCCUUUUCUUUUCUUCUUUAGUCCGUAGAUGUUGAAAUAGUGGUUUUUUGGUUGUUGCGCUUGAGAGAGUGAAGAAAUAGAGAGGGUUAUGCAGAGAGGUUGAAGAUGCUCACAAAGUGAAAAUGGAGAGGAUUGAGAUUUUGUUUGUGAGUGCAGAGUGAAUGAAUGAUUGUUGCUGAUGAAUCAGAGUGGAGAGUCGAAUAUAUAGAGUUUGAAUUGAGUAACUGAAUUGGGAAGUCAUUAAGGGAUGGCGUACCUACGAUGGAGUUGACAUUGGCCUGGCAUGGAGGUGGCAAGGUUUGGUUAUGGUUUAUGAGGGUUUGAUCAAGGCAUAAAGACUUGAAUGCUUUUGAGUAUCUUAUGCAUGAAGACAAUAGAAUUAGGGUUUUGGGAUUAAAAAGUUUACUUUGGUCUAUUGUUGACCCAAAAGUCAAUAGUUGACCAAAGUCAACCCUAUGUCAAAAUGUGUACUUUGUAUCAUGUUUGAAAUUUUGGAUUUUUGUCAUGUACUUUGGUGUUUUGAACAUGAAUUACCCUUGUAUGGUUGUAACUUAUUUUCUAAGCAAUACAAAAUGUCUUUCCCUCCAA